UACGUAGGUCCCGAGCGUUGUCCGGAUUUAUUGGGCGUAAAGCGAGCGCAGGUGGUUUAUUAAGUCUGGUGUAAAAGGCAGUGGCUCAACCAUUGUAUGCAUUGGAAACUGGUAGACUUGAGUGCAGGAGAGGAGAGUGGAAUUCCAUGUGUAGCGGUGAAAUGCAUAGAUAUCACGCAGAACUCCGAUUGCGAAGGCAGCGUACCGGCAUCCAACUGACGCUGAGGCACGAAAGCGUGGGGAUCAAACAGG
Molecule: ribosomal RNA, 252 nt
Filed under: uncultured bacterium
Lineage: Bacteria
Description: partial 16S ribosomal RNA
Rfam family: Bacterial small subunit ribosomal RNA
Source: RNAcentral